RNAcentral lists this ribosomal RNA (601 nucleotides) under Euseius environmental sample. RNAcentral's name for it is "eukaryotic LSU rRNA". The stretch from base 279 to 435 matches the Rfam family "5.8S ribosomal RNA". Lineage: Eukaryota; Metazoa; Arthropoda; Arachnida; Mesostigmata; Phytoseiidae. The record is from RNAcentral.
GGAAGUAAAAGUCGUAACAAGGUUUCCGUAGGUGAACCUGCGGAAGGAUCAUUACUGAUACACAAAAUCCAUUCUUCGCCCUCGUGCGAGUGAGUGGUGCCGGUAUGAUGUCCUACCCUCCCUGCCCUGGGCGGGGGGAGAGGCAUGACUCGAACGAGUAUUUGAGCACUCUGCGUAUAGCGAUCACACUCGCCAGUCGAGUGUCUCGCGUGUCGGUGAAUCCCGACAAACCUUUUUCCCCACUCUGUGUGUGUGCUAUCGAGAACAGCAAUAUGCAAGACUCAAUAUGGGGGAUCACUUAGUCCUUAAAUCGAUGAAGAACAUAGUAAUUUGUGGAAAUUGAUGUGAGUUGUGAAAUUUUGUGAGCAUUGUGUUUUUGAAUGAAAAUUUCAGCAUGGACACUUUCGUAUCUGUGCUACAUUUGUUUCAGUAUAUAAAACGUAUCAUACGUAUUUACCAUUGCUGCUGCUACCCGGCGGCAUGCAAUGGUAUAAAGUGUCCGAUGGUCACGUGGGUGACGCCGACGACCGAACUCUGUUGACGUGUAUCUGAAAUCAAGUGUGACGACCCGCUGAACUUAAGCAUAUCAAUAAGCGGAGGA